Molecule: ribosomal RNA, 253 nt
Filed under: uncultured bacterium
Lineage: Bacteria
Description: partial 16S ribosomal RNA
Rfam family: Bacterial small subunit ribosomal RNA
Source: RNAcentral
CACGUAGGGCGCGAGCGUUGUCCGGAAUUAUUGGGCGUAAAGAGCUCGUAGGCGGCCUGUUGCGUCCGCUGUGAAAGCCCGGGGCUUAACCCCGGGUCUGCAGUGGAUACGGGCAGGCUAGAGGUAGGUAGGGGAGAAUGGAAUUCCCGGUGUAGCGGUGAAAUGCGCAGAUAUCGGGAGGAACACCAGUGGCGAAGGCGACACGCUGGGCCGUACCUGACACUGAACCGCGACAGCAUGGGGAGCAAACAGG